Hydra vulgaris (swiftwater hydra) is the source of this 431-nucleotide long non-coding RNA. RefSeq lists it as uncharacterized. NCBI's taxonomy places the organism in Eukaryota, Metazoa, Cnidaria, Hydrozoa, Anthoathecata, Hydridae. The record is from RefSeq and is a predicted model, not a curated record.
CAACUAUUCAGAACUAUUCAGAAAAAUAUUCUUGAAAAACGCAACACUUGUUGAGAGUUUGGAAAAAGUUAUAAGGACAUUUUUCAGAACAUUCAUUUUCAGAACAUUAACAUUCAUUGGUUUUACCACUAUGCAGUGUUUAAGUACUUUCCUCAGUUUCCAUUAAAGACUAUUGUUGAACUUAAAGUUGAAAAAUCAAAAGAUAUAAUCAAAGAAGAAACAAGAAAGCAAGAGAUCAAAAGCAACAACUGAAAAUUUGUAAAGCCUGAAGCCCGAAAGUUAUUCUCCGAAAGAAAACAAUUUCAUUGGUUGUACUCUCGUGUACUUAAUACAAAAAGAAGGAAGGAGGGAGGGGGAGGGGUUUAGUUCAGAUCUGAUAAACCCUCGUUUCAGAUCAGAUCAGAACUAAAAACAGUAUGUAUGGAGUCUUA